ACGGGAGGCAGCAGUAGGGAAUAUUGCACAAUGGGGGAAACCCUGAUGCAGCAACGCCACGUGUGGGAAGAAGCAUUUCGGUGUGUAAACCACUGUCGUGAAGGAAUAAGGCUUAUUUUCGGAUAAGUUGAAUGUACUUUGAAAGGAAGCACCGGCAAACUUCGUGCCAGCAGCCGCGGUAAUACGAGGGGUGCAAGCGUUGUUCGGAAUCACUGGGCGUAAAGGGAGCGCAGGCGGAGAUGCAAGCAGUCUGUACAAUACCGGGGCCCAACCCCGGACCUGCAGACUGGACUGUUUCUCUUGGAUAGCUCAGGGGCUGGCGGAAUUCCUGGUGUAGCGGUGGAAUGCGUAGAGAUCAGGAAGAACACCGAUGGCGAAGGCAGCCUGCUGGGGACUCAUCGACGCUGAGGCUCGAAAGUGCGGGUAGCAAACAGGAUUAGAUACCCUGGUA
RNAcentral lists this ribosomal RNA (451 nucleotides) under uncultured Fibrobacter sp. RNAcentral describes it as "bacterial SSU rRNA". It matches the Rfam family "Bacterial small subunit ribosomal RNA", at positions 341 to 792 of the family's 1533-position model. Lineage: Bacteria; Pseudomonadati; Fibrobacterota; Fibrobacteria; Fibrobacterales; Fibrobacteraceae. The record is from RNAcentral.